AGAGUUUGAUCCUGGCUCAGAAUGAACGCUGGCGGCGUGCUUAACACAUGCAAGUCGAACGAGGCCUGGGGGGCAACUCCCAGAGUCGAGUGGCGGACGGGUGAGUAACACGUGGGUAACCUGCCCGGAAGUGGGGAAUACCUCGGGGAAACUCGAGCUAAUUCCGCAUGACAUCUACGGGACGAAAGUCCUGACGAUCAAAGCGGGGUCGCAAGAUCUCGCGCUACCGGAUGGGCCCGCGCCCGAUUAGCUAGUUGGUGAGGUAACGGCUCACCAAGGCUUCGAUCGGUAACCGGCCUGAGAGGGCGGUCGGUCACACCGGAACUGAGACACGGUCCGGACUCCUACGGGAGGCAGCAGUGGGGAAUCUUGCGCAAUGGGCGAAAGCCUGACGCAGCAACGCCGCGUGGAGGAUGAAGGCCUUUGGGUUGUAAACUCCUGUCGGCUGGGAAGAAAUCAUACGGCGCUCAUACCGCCGUGUGUUGACUGUACCAGCAAAGGAAGCCCCGGCUAACUCUGUGCCAGCAGCCGCGGUAAUUC
Molecule: ribosomal RNA, 540 nt
Filed under: uncultured bacterium
Lineage: Bacteria
Description: bacterial SSU rRNA
Rfam family: Bacterial small subunit ribosomal RNA
Source: RNAcentral